AUACGUAGGGGGCGAGCGUUGUCCGGAAUGAUUGGGCGUAAAGGGCGCGUAGGCGGCGUGGUAAGUCUGGAGUGAAAGUCCUGCUUUCAGGGUGGGAAUUGCUUUGGAUACUGCCGCGCUUGAGUGCAGGAGAGGUUAUCGGAAUUCACGGUGUAGCGGUGAAAUGCGUAGAGAUCGGGAGGAACGCCAGUGGCGAAGGCGGGUAACUGGACUGCAACUGACGCUGAGGCGCGAAAGUGUGGGGAGCAAACAGGAUUAGAUACCCUGGUAGUCCACACUGUAAACGAUGAAUGCUAGGUGUAAGAGGUAUCGACCCCUUUUGUGCCGGAGUCAACACAAUAAGCAUUCCGCCUGGGGAGUACGGCCGCAAGGUUGAAACUCAAAUGAAUUGACGGGG
RNAcentral lists this ribosomal RNA (397 nucleotides) under uncultured bacterium. Its description in RNAcentral is "partial 16S ribosomal RNA". It matches the Rfam family "Bacterial small subunit ribosomal RNA", at positions 523 to 918 of the family's 1533-position model. The record is from RNAcentral.